CUUUUUUCCACUCUAAUCUGUCCCAUAAGUUGUUUCCCCACAUGAGUACGUACAGAAUUAUCUCAUUCACUGAACAAUGGCAACGGGCUCCUUUGUGUGAAUUGAACACGCUUUGUUUAGCGGGUCCCUGGUCAUUUGGGUUGUUUUCUUCUUUCUAGUGAGGAGAUUCCUUUCAUGAACCUUGUGGUCUGGAGUAAAAGAAGAGACCUACAUUCCUCUCUUAAGACCCUGUACCUUUGCUCCUAAGCAUGAAGAUGGGCUUCUGACCAAGUCCUGCUAGAGGACACUGAAAGGGCAAGCCUUGGGCUUUAACCAGGCAAUGGAAAAUUUAAAUUGGGCUCCAGAGAAGAGACAUUGAGACUGAUACUUCCAGCACUGAGGAUCUACCUCUAGAAGUCUAGCUCAGAACUUGGCCUCCGGCCUGGGCACUGCCUCAUACCUGCCAGAAUUGAUCUCAAUGGAGCUGCACAAUGAGAGGUUUUGCAUGUUGUCUAGAGGACUUUGGUUGAGUUCAGAGCUGAGCACACUUGCCUUCAGACUCUCCUGGGACUCCCAGUUCUCAUCCAUAUGAGCAAGGGCUUCAUGUUACUGGCCGUGGCCCUGUGCUGAGUCCUCCUCCCGCCCAUGGCCCUCUCCUCCUGGCCAGUGGUCCUCCGCCUGAACAUGGCCGACUUUGUCUUCAGUUUCCUCUGCCUCGGCAUUGGGCUCCUGAUUUCUCUUCAGCCUGACGCUCUUUUCAGUUAACGGCAAGGCGGUGCACCCAAGUCCGGUGGUGUCCUACCUGGUGACCUCCUACCUGUGCUGGGACGCCAGCGACUUGAUGCUGCACUCCGCAGGGCGCAGCGAGGCGGACAUCCAAACAGCGGAACUCAGACGCUGACUCCGAGCGCACCCCGGGCCUUCCCAUUUCAUACACCCUCGAGGAUGAGACCCAAGCACCUCCAAGGAAUAGCACCCGAGGUCUUCAGGACACCGACCGGUAGCCAUGGCCAGAUGCCCGGCCAACCCCUUCAGCGUGGCCACGCCCUGGAUAUUCGACCUCCCCUGAGGCCCCACCCCCUGAUAUCAGGCCACGCCCUCCGAGGGGACCGGUGGCAAACUCCAGCCCUCGCUCUAGGGCCCGCCCUUUGCGGCUUUGUCCCUGCCCACUGGGUCCUCACAGUACCUCCACCCCAGAGGCCCAGCAUCCCCUCCCGUUCUGCAGACACUUGUCCAGCGUCCCGCUGAGCUCGGCAGUGUGGCUAGUUUGUGUGGCCCUGCCCCUGGUGCCCAGCCAGGGUGGUCUGCAUGGAACUUCUUUCCCGGAGUUCCGGCCUCAGCUCCGAUGUCCACCCUUGUCCCCAGGUGGACACAGCACCGCCCAGCAUUUGGUGCAACUCCACCCUUCUGCAGAACGGGCCCCUCCCUGGGAAGGCAUGGCUUGCAAUAACAUCCCUCUGUACCUUUUCUGGCUUCCCCGCCACAAUAAAACCUCUCAGCCUCAGACCUUCCAUUGCCCCCCACCUCCCCACCAGGGCAGGGUCCAUCCUAGUGUGAGUGAACUGUUCUGGCGUCCCUGACUUGCCCUUUGGGA
This 1573-nucleotide long non-coding RNA is filed under the name Homo sapiens (human). RNAcentral's name for it is "HSALNT0261561". Lineage: Eukaryota; Metazoa; Chordata; Mammalia; Primates; Hominidae. The record is from RNAcentral.